Molecule: ribosomal RNA, 497 nt
Filed under: uncultured bacterium
Lineage: Bacteria
Description: partial 16S ribosomal RNA
Rfam family: Bacterial small subunit ribosomal RNA
Source: RNAcentral
GAUGAACGCUGGCGGCGUGCCUAAUACAUGCAAGUCGAGCGAACGGACGAGAAGCUUGCUUCUCUGAUGUUAGCGGCGGACGGGUGAGUAACACGUGGAUAACCUACCUAUAAGACUGGGAUAACUUCGGGAAACCGGAGCUAAUACCGGAUAAUAUUUUGAACCGCAUGGUUCAAAAGUGAAAGACGGUCUUGCUGUCACUUAUAGAUGGAUCCGCGCUGCAUUAGCUAGUUGGUAAGGUAACGGCUUACCAAGGCAACGAUGCAUAGCCGACCUGAGAGGGUGAUCGGCCACACUGGAACUGAGACACGGUCCAGACUCCUACGGGAGGCAGCAGUAGGGAAUCUUCCGCAAUGGGCGAAAGCCGGACGGAGCAACGCCGCGUGAGUGAUGAAGGUCUUCGGAUCGUAAAACUCUGUUAUUAGGGAAGAACAUAUGUGUAAGUAACUGUGCACAUCUUGACGGUACCUAAUCAGAAAGCCACGGCUAACUACGUG